RNAcentral lists this ribosomal RNA (253 nucleotides) under uncultured bacterium. Its description in RNAcentral is "partial 16S ribosomal RNA". It matches the Rfam family "Bacterial small subunit ribosomal RNA", at positions 524 to 776 of the family's 1533-position model. The record is from RNAcentral.
UACAGAGGGUGCGAGCGUUAAUUGGAAUUACUGGGCGUAAAGCGUGCGUAGACGGUUAUUUAAGUCAGGUGUGAAAGCCCCGGGCUCAACCUGGGAAUUGCAUUUGAGACUGAAUAGCUAGGGUGCGGAAGAGGGAAGCGGAAUUUCCGGUGUAGCGGUGAAAUGCGUAGAUAUCGGAAGGAACACCAGUGGCGAAAGCGGCUUCCUGGUCCAGCACCGACGUUCAGGCACGAAAGCGUGGGGAGCAAACAGG